Molecule: ribosomal RNA, 600 nt
Filed under: Micrococcus sp.
Lineage: Bacteria; Bacillati; Actinomycetota; Actinomycetes; Micrococcales; Micrococcaceae
Description: bacterial SSU rRNA
Rfam family: Bacterial small subunit ribosomal RNA
Source: RNAcentral
CGAACGGGUAGCCGGCCUGAGAGGGUGACCGGCCACACUGGGACUGAGACACGGUCCCAGACUCCUACGGGAGGCAGCAGUGGGGAAUAUUGCACAAUGGGCGAAAGCCUGAUGCAGCGACGCCGCGUGAGGGAUGACGGCCUUCGGGUUGUAAACCUCUUUCAGUAGGGAAGAAGCGAAAGUGACGGUACCUGCAGAAGAAGCACCGGCUAACUACGUGCCAGCAGCCGCGGUAAUACGUAGGGUGCGAGCGUUAUCCGGAAUUAUUGGGCGUAAAGAGCUCGUAGGCGGUUUGUCGCGUCUGUCGUGAAAGUCCGGGGCUUAACCCCGGAUCUGCGGUGGGUACGGGCAGACUAGAGUGCAGUAGGGGAGACUGGAAUUCCUGGUGUAGCGGUGGAAUGCGCAGAUAUCAGGAGGAACACCGAUGGCGAAGGCAGGUCUCUGGGCUGUAACUGACGCUGAGGAGCGAAAGCAUGGGGAGCGAACAGGAUUAGAUACCCUGGUAGUCCAUGCCGUAAACGUUGGGCACUAGGUGUGGGGACCAUUCCACGGUUUCCGCGCCGCAGCUAACGCAUUAAGUGCCCCGCCUGGGGAGUACGG